This is a non-coding RNA of Rattus norvegicus (Norway rat), 3075 nucleotides long. The record is from RefSeq and is a predicted model, not a curated record. Lineage: Eukaryota; Metazoa; Chordata; Mammalia; Rodentia; Muridae.
UCAGCUACCAAACUUCCCAAUGGAUCAGAGAAUAGUGAGCCACAGACUAGACAAACUCCUGAGAGACGUGCCUCCUGACACACACUCUUGGUGAUACGGCCACCUGCUUCUUCUGCCUCCCGGGUAUUCUCUCCAGCCCUCUCCUCUUGUCUCUCUUCCCUGCUUCUUGUGUUUCUCACACUUUUAUAAUUAGCCUCACGGCAAUCUCCCUGUCACUCCCUCGGGGCCUGCAGUUUGGCAGCACAGCCCGUGAGCUGUUUUUAUGAAUGGAGAGAGAGGUGGGCGGUGAGUCCGGAGGAAUGCCCUCCUUGUAUUUCACCGGCGAAGACACUGAAUCAACUUCAGUGCUUAGAAAAUAAGGACUAAGGGAGCCUUAGAGCAGUGGCUGGGAUAAACUGAGGAGGGUGUGGAGAAAGCAGCAAGCCCUGGGGUCUGCUUGCUUCCUUGGGCCCUCUGGAAAUAUUCAAAUUUCCUCCAGUAACCCAAUACUUCCCCUGUACCAGGUCGGGAAGGACAAGGGCGACAGCCUGGUGGUGCCUGCAGAAAAUGUUGCCUGGCUGGCUGACCAAGCAAGCCGUCUUCAACCUCCCAGCCCUGCACUCAGAGAGGCACAUCUGGCUUCCAGAGUGACCCUCUGGAAGCCCUCACCACUCCUAGAACCUCUAGAUGGGUUGUCAGAGCUGAAGAGAAGAAAGCCUAACAUGAGAGCAACCAGGGCUGAGGAGACGGCAAGCCCUGCUGACAGUGGCCAGGCAGAAUCCCUUGCCCUUCAGCGAGGUUGACAGAUAUUUGCUUCACAACAUUCUAAGAGAGGGAAGCCGUGGUCAUCAGUUACCUGCUGAGAUUGGGAGGACACUGUUGAUGAAAGUUGGCUGCGACACGAUGGAGCAGAAGAAGAGUUGGAGAUAAAUUCCCAAAGUCAUUGGAUUCAGGACAGCCAUGCUGGCCGGGUCUGUCUGAGGUAAGUGGCUACGGAAAAGAUGAGAAAGAGGGCAGCCAAGUCUCCAGUGUUUACCUCACCACCCUCAAGGGCAGAUGGACUUCUUGCUCCAUUGCCCACCAUCAGCUAUAGACUGGGAACGCACUGUCCUGCCCUACCACUGAUCAAGUCUCUGGCAUAAACUGCCUUCGGUGUGGACAAGCUGCAGGUCUGGGACAGUCUCACCCACCAGUAGCAAACUCAAGUCUCGAGUUGAGCUGGGACUUUCUGCUGGGGAACUUGCACUUCCAAACAGCUGUUGCUAUGAAAAGAUACCCCACCCCACCCCCCACUCCCCACCUCCAGAAGCUGCAACCCUUUAACCUCACACAAAACAAAGCAGAUGCAAACAGUGAACGCACGUUGAAGUGAGCCAUUCGCUAUCAAAUUGUUCUUGGAGCAACGACAUCGUCAACUUAAUCUUGGUUAGGCGAAAUUUCCUGAAACAAAAGUAAUUCCAGGGGCUAGGGAGAUGUCUCAGCAGUUAAGAGCAUGUACACGCAAAAUUUAGUUUCCGGCCUCUGUGCACUGUAGCUCACAACUGCCUGUGGCCCUAAGAAAGGAGAUCUGAUGCCUCUGAUGUCCCAGGGCACCUGCGCUCAUGUGGACAUACCCCACCCCUACCCCAUCCUACCGCACCUUCCAUAAAGAUAAAUAAAAAACAAAAAAUACUAUUAAAAGAGUUUGUAAAGACUAUUACGGUGAUCCUUAGAUUAAAAAAACCAAUUAAAAUACUAAUCCAUAUUCGAUUAGCUUUAAUUUAUAUAAUAUACUCAUUGUAAAGGUUUAUUCAGAUCCAGUGAGUACUGGUACUCAUCUGGGGCAAGGUAAGCUGAGGCCGGGGUGGAGAGUAUGACGAUACCACGCUCUGCAGCUCAGAACCAGACUUGGCCCUGAUUCAGCUCUAAGUGGCUGAAGACAAACUGUUUGUUCCCCUGUACGCCUCUGCUGUCUCAUCCGAGAGACAGAGAUAGUUCCCUUCACAGGGUUGUUGGAAAGGUUAAAUGAGAAGCUGUGGGAUGAAUUGUACUCAGGCUAGAACUUAGAGGCAGGACAGUGAAAUCCAAAGAGCUGUGGUAGGCGAGGUACAAAGAUGCUCGUCCAAAUACCUUACAUCUCCAGUGUGUACGUCAUUCAAGUACCAGAAAAAGAGCAGAAAUAGCUAAUUGAUAAAAAGCUGAUGUAGUCACCACAGUGACAGCUGCCCUUUGGGGCCCCUCAGAGACGUGCCUACAAGCCUCCACUCUUUAAGGAAUUCUUAGGGAAUUUCUGCUUGCCAGUGUAUUUUAUGAGCCUCUUUCCUAUGAUACUCCAACUACCCAAGGCAGAAUGAUCAUUUUAUUCAGACCCUUCCAGAAGGACUGACUCCUGCAGAAUCUAGGAACUGAGGCCAUGUGUCCAUGAGGAAGUCACCUAGCAUUUGAGAGAGGCUCACACCAAUGAAGCCAAUCAGAACCUGCCUCCUAGACGGUUCAGAUAGGAAUGUUGGCUGGAGAAUAAUUCCUGUUAAAAAAUAGGUACCACCGUACUGAGGAAUUGUGGGAAACAGUCAACUGCCCAGUGGCUAGGUUCAAAAAUAUACAUUGUUCAUCGGAAUGAAAAUAGUAACCCAUGGUAUGCAAUCAUUGAAAAAUAUAGGAAGGGAAUAUACAUCAGUGGUAGAGCACUUGCCAAGAAUGCAGGAGGCCCUGGGUUGGAGUCCCUAGCAUAGAAAAAAAAUGCAAAAAUCUUUGUACCAAGAGGUGCUAGAAAAAAAUGGAACGUCAACAUACAAAACAGAAAUGAAGAGUAACUCUUUCUUACCUUAGCCCACCUGUUAAGAAUUAGCUCAGGAGAAUGAUGGUUUGUAUAUGCUUGGCCUAGGGUGGCACCAUUAGGAGGCAUGACCUUGCUGUGUCACUGUGGGCAUGGGCUUAAGACCCUCAUCCUAGCUGCCUGGAAGUCAGUCUUCUGCUAUCGGCCUUCAAAUGAAGAUGUAGAACUCUCAGCUCCUCCUGCACCAUGCCUGCCUGGAUGCUGCCAUGAUCCUGCCUUGAUGAUAAUGGACUGAACCUCUGAACCUGUAAGCCAGCCCCAAUUAAAUGUUGUCCUUAUGA